Molecule: ribosomal RNA, 864 nt
Filed under: Triticum aestivum (bread wheat)
Lineage: Eukaryota; Viridiplantae; Streptophyta; Magnoliopsida; Poales; Poaceae
Description: partial small subunit ribosomal RNA
Source: RNAcentral
AUGGCCAGUACAUUUGUCAAUUAUUAUCAGAAGAAUACUGGUGCCUUUCAGAACAAAACCAGCAGCAACACUGUGACUGUGCAACAGAAUACUCCAGCAAAACAAAUAGAGAAUAACUCCAACACAUUCACAAAACUACGCAAAGUGGGGGAAUGUUGGAGAUGUGGAGACAAAUGGACACAUGGUCAUAGGUGCAAGUUAAUUCCCAAUGUUCACUUGUUACAACCAGAGAGUAUGGAGCAAGAGGUGUUGGAAGAAGAAGUGUUGCAGCAGGAACAGGAAGAAAUUCCAGAAGAAGGGGACCAGGCAAUGUUCAUUACUGCUCAUGCAUUGGGCCAGCAGAUAGCAAUACCUACACCAACUGUAGUUGUUCACAUAAAUGGCAAAAGAGCAACUGCUUUACUGGAUUCAGGCAGCAGUGCUUCAUUUAUAAGUCAAGAAUUUGCUGUGAAAGCUAAUUGUCACUUACUGCCAGUGAAACCCGGACUUAUUGCAGUAGCUGGAGGUGGCAAAUUAACUUCCAAAGCUGUGGUGCCCAACUGUAAAUUCCAGCUGGCCAAACACUCAUUGCAGUAUAAUUUUAGAGUGUUACCUUUGCCUGGAUAUGAUAUAAUCCUGGGAUAUGACUGGUUUACCCUAAUGAGCCCAGCAACUUUUAAUAUACCAGAUAACACUUUCAGUUUUUUGCUGCAAGGGAAAACAACAGUUACUGCAGCAAUCUUUAACACACCAGAAAAGGUUCAGGAAGUACCAGCUGAGAAGAUGAGCAAAUUACUGGAAAAAGGAGCUGAGGCCUUCUUACUGCAGGUGCAUAACAUCAUUCUACAAGCUCCUGUGGGUUUUCAAACUCCCCCUCAAGUGUAG